GGCAUAACAGUUGCCGAUGAAGAGGUCUCGUCGGGUCUGGGACUCCGCCCGACACCAGGACCGGCAGACGAGAGAGGCGGAGUUCCGGUCCCGACGCUCCGUCAGAAACUGGAGAACGUUCUCGAUGACGUUCUCCAGUACCUGGCCGGAGAAAAGCGGUGGGCUCGAGUGAUCGAGCCCGGAUCCGCAGCCUCGGGUCUUGGCGGAGCUCUCGCCGCCGCCGAGAUCCGAG
This 232-nucleotide unclassified non-coding RNA is filed under the name Hevea brasiliensis (rubber tree). The record is from RNAcentral. Lineage: Eukaryota; Viridiplantae; Streptophyta; Magnoliopsida; Malpighiales; Euphorbiaceae.